AUAUUGUCCUGUCACAGCAGUAUUGUAACACUAUAUUAUAGCUUACUGCUGGGUCGGGGCAUUAACA
Molecule: microRNA precursor, 67 nt
Filed under: Drosophila yakuba
Lineage: Eukaryota; Metazoa; Arthropoda; Insecta; Diptera; Drosophilidae
Description: Dya-Mir-1000_pre stem-loop
Rfam family: mir-1000 microRNA precursor family
Source: RNAcentral